RNAcentral lists this ribosomal RNA (452 nucleotides) under uncultured bacterium. Its description in RNAcentral is "bacterial SSU rRNA". It matches the Rfam family "Bacterial small subunit ribosomal RNA", at positions 28 to 505 of the family's 1533-position model. The record is from RNAcentral.
GAUGAACGCUGGCGGUGCGCCUAAUACAUGCAAGUCGAACGAGAAGUUUAAAAAGUUUACUUUUUAAAUAGACAGUGGCGGACGAGUGAGUAACACGUAAGAACCUGCCCCGUACUCAGGGAUAACACAGCGAAAGUUGUGCUAAUACCGGAUAGUCUCGAAAGAGUAAAGAUUUUUCGGUACGGGAGGGGCUUGCGGCCUAUCAGCUUGUUGGUAAGGUAAAAGCUUACCAAGGCUAUGACGGGUAACUGGUCUGAGAGGAUGACCAGUCACGAUGGGACUGAGACACGGCCCAUACUCCUACGGGAGGCAGCAGUAAGGAAUCUUCCGCAAUGGACGAAAGUCUGACGGAGCGACACCGCGUGGUGGAUGAAGGCCCUAUGGGUUGUAAACACCUUUUAUGAGGGAAGAAGUUCUGACGGUACCUCAUGAAUAAGCCCCGGCUAAUUACG